This is a long non-coding RNA of Balaenoptera musculus (blue whale), 101 nucleotides long. RefSeq lists it as uncharacterized. The transcript has 3 exons. The record is from RefSeq and is a predicted model, not a curated record. NCBI's taxonomy places the organism in Eukaryota, Metazoa, Chordata, Mammalia, Artiodactyla, Balaenopteridae.
CUUUGUGAUGUGGGCCCUGUAGUGUGAGGUGGUUUCGCAUCCUCUUUGUGAUGUGGGUCCUGUGGUGUGAGGUGGUUUUUCUUCCCCUUUCUCAGGAGGGC